CAAGAAACCCGAUGUACUUAUCAACUCAAAGGACGCAACCAUUUGACGCUUAUCAUUUCAGAACGUUAAGUGAUUUGAAAGAUCAAAUGUUCAAAGUUUUGAGCCAUCAACUAGUAAAAGUUGCCUAAAAUAAUUUGCCACGUAUCAACUCAACGGACGAAGCCAUUUGACGCUUAACUUAUCAGAACGUUAAGAAAUCUGAAAGAUCGAAUCUUCAAAGCCUCAAUCGUCGACCAGUAAAAGUGAGUGAAGACAGAAAAAUUGGAUUGCAGGACUGAAUUUGGUUUUUCCACUUAAAUUGAAUAAAUUGUUCAUGCUAGCUGCAUGCAAUGCUAACAUAUGUAUGGAGAUCAAUGAGAUGGAUGGAAGACGGUCGGUCGGUGUUCUGCUUUUUGCAGUAAAACAUGUAGUUUUAUAGCCUGCGCAAACGUAGGUAAUGAACAAAAACUGUGAGAAAUGCACACCAAAGUACAGGAAAUGGCAUUUUAGAGCUUCUCAAUAAAAAAUUUUCCCUGGGAGCAUUUGCCCCCGGACUCCCCAAACAUGACUCGCACCUUAGGUUCUCGGUUCAGGCUUUGGUCGCCAUUUUUAAAGUGUGUAUAUUUAGCGCCAUUUUCAGUGGUAGCUGACUGCUUCCUCCCUGGAGUGUUCCUAGCAUGCAACUGACCCCACCUAUAUUAAAAAAAAAUAUUCAAAAUAUCUGUUUACCCAACAGAACUUUGUGGAACCAAUUAAAAUUUGCUCGCAAAGUG
Molecule: long non-coding RNA, 752 nt
Organism: Xenia sp. Carnegie-2017
Lineage: Eukaryota; Metazoa; Cnidaria; Anthozoa; Malacalcyonacea; Xeniidae
Exons: 4
Source: RefSeq, a predicted model, not a curated record